This 1444-nucleotide ribosomal RNA is filed under the name Klebsiella pneumoniae. RNAcentral's name for it is "partial 23S ribosomal RNA". It matches the Rfam family "Bacterial large subunit ribosomal RNA", at positions 890 to 2316 of the family's 2925-position model. The record is from RNAcentral. Lineage: Bacteria; Pseudomonadati; Pseudomonadota; Gammaproteobacteria; Enterobacterales; Enterobacteriaceae.
UCAUCUUCGGGGGUAGAGCACUGUUUCGGCUAGGGGGUCAUCCCGACUUACCAACCCGAUGCAAACUACGAAUACCGAAGAAUGUUAUCACGGGAGACACACGGCGGGUGCUAACGUCCGUCGUGAAGAGGGAAACAACCCAGACCGCCAGCUAAGGUCCCAAAGUCAUGGUUAAGUGGGAAACGAUGUGGGAAGGCACAGACAGCCAGGAUGUUGGCUUAGAAGCAGCCAUCAUUUAAAGAAAGCGUAAUAGCUCACUGGUCGAGUCGGCCUGCGCGGAAGAUGUAACGGGGCUAAACCAUGCACCGAAGCUGCGGCAGCGACACUAUGUGUUGUUGGGUAGGGGAGCGUUCUGUAAGCCUGCGAAGGUGUGCUGUGAGGCAUGCUGGAGGUAUCAGAAGUGCGAAUGCUGACAUAAGUAACGAUAAAGCGGGUGAAAAGCCCGCUCGCCGGAAGACCAAGGGUUCCUGUCCAACGUUAAUCGGGGCAGGGUGAGUCGACCCCUAAGGCGAGGCCGAAAGGCGUAGUCGAUGGGAAACAGGUUAAUAUUCCUGUACUUGGUGUUACUGCGAAGGGGGGACGGAGAAGGCUAUGUUAGCCGGGCGACGGUUGUCCCGGUUUAAGCAUGUAGGCUGGUUAUCCAGGCAAAUCCGGAUAAUCAAGGCUGAGGUGUGAUGACGAGGCACUACGGUGCUGAAGUAACAAAUGCCCUGCUUCCAGGAAAAGCCUCUAAGCAUCAGGUAACAUCAAAUCGUACCCCAAACCGACACAGGUGGUCAGGUAGAGAAUACCAAGGCGCUUGAGAGAACUCGGGUGAAGGAACUAGGCAAAAUGGUGCCGUAACUUCGGGAGAAGGCACGCUGGUGUGUAGGUGAAGUCCCUGCGGAUGGAGCUGAGACCAGUCGAAGAUACCAGCUGGCUGCAACUGUUUAUUAAAAACACAGCACUGUGCAAACACGAAAGUGGACGUAUACGGUGUGACGCCUGCCCGGUGCCGGAAGGUUAAUUGAUGGGGUUAUCCGUAAGGAGAAGCUCUUGAUCGAAGCCCCGGUAAACGGCGGCCGUAACUAUAACGGUCCUAAGGUAGCGAAAUUCCUUGUCGGGUAAGUUCCGACCUGCACGAAUGGCGUAAUGAUGGCCAGGCUGUCUCCACCCGAGACUCAGUGAAAUUGAACUCGCUGUGAAGAUGCAGUGUACCCGCGGCAAGACGGAAAGACCCCGUGAACCUUUACUAUAGCUUGACACUGAACAUUGAGCCUUGAUGUGUAGGAUAGGUGGGAGGCUUUGAAGCGUGGACGCCAGUCUGCGUGGAGCCAACCUUGAAAUACCACCCUUUAAUGUUUGAUGUUCUAACGUUGGCCCCUGACCGGGGUUGCGGACAGUGUCUGGUGGGUAGUUUGACUGGGGCGGUCUCCUCCCAAAGCGUAACGGAGGAGCACGAAGG